AACGGAGGAUAAGGGUUCGACUCCGGAGAAGGGGCCUCAUAAAUGGCCACUACGUCUAAGGAUGGCAGCAGGCGCGCAAAUUACCCACUCUCAACGCGAGGAGGUAGUGACGAGAAAUAACGAGACCGAUCUCUUAUGAGGCCGGUCAUCGGAAUGGGUACAAUUUAAACCCUUUAACGAGUAUCUAUGAGAGGGCAAGUCUGGUGCCAGCAGCCGCGGUAAUUCCAGCUCUCAAAAUGCAUAGAAUUAUUGCUGCGGUUAAAAAGCUCGUAGUUGGAUCUGUGCUAGCCGUCCGGUGCACACUUUGUGUGUUACUGGUUUGGUUGGCUUUUCUGCCGGUCUUUCCCCGGCGUUGGCCUUUACCGGUCGGCGUCGGUGGGCUGGCGAGUUUACUUUGAACAAAUCAGAGUGCUUCAAACAGGCGUUUCGCUUGAAUGUUCGUGCAUGGAAUAAUAGAAGAGGAUUUCGGUCCGAUUUUAUUGGUUUUGCUGACCGAGAUAAUGGUUAACAGAGACAAACGGGGCCAUUCGUAUUGCUACGUGAGAGGUGAAAUUCUUGGACCGUAGCAAGACGGACUACAGCGAAAGCAUUUGGCAAGAAUGUCUUCAUUAAUCAAGAACGAAAGUCAGAGGUUCGAAGGCGAUCAGAUACCGCCCUAGUUCUGACCGUAAACGAUGCCAACUAGCGAUCCGCCGGCGGAUUUAUUCGCCCUGGUGGGGAGCUUCCCGGAAACGAAAGUCUUCCGGUUCCGGGGGGAAGUAUGGUUGCAAAGCUGAAACUUAAAGGAAUUGACGGAAGGGCACCACCAGGAGUGGAGCCUGCGGCUUAAUUUGACUCAACACGGGGAAACUCACCCGGCCCGGACACCGUAAGGAUUGACAGAUUGAUAGCUUUUUCAUGAUUCGGUGGAUGGUGGUGCAUGGCCGUUCUUAGUUCGUGGAGCGAUUUGUCUGGUUUAUUCCGAUAACGAGCGAGACUCUAGCCUACUAAAUAGUUGGCUCAUUGCUUCUGUGGGCACAACUUCUUAGAGGGAUUUUCGGUGUUCAGCCGCACGAAAUUGAGCAAUAACAGGUCUGUGAUGCCCUUAGAUGUCCGGGGCUGCACGCGCGCUACACUGGCAAAAUCAGCGUGCUUGUCCUUCCCCGAAAGGGGUUGGUAAACCGGUGAAAAUUUGCCGUGAUUGGGAUCGGACAUUGCAAUUAUUGUCCGUGAACGAGGAAUUCCUUGUAGGGGCGAGUCAUCAACUCGCUCUGAAUACGUCCCUGCCCUUUGUACACACCGCCCGUCGCUGCCCGGGACUGAGCCAUUUCGAGAAAUUCGGGGACGGUUAGUGUUCCGGCUUCGGUCGGUAUGCAGACUGGAACCG
RNAcentral lists this ribosomal RNA (1366 nucleotides) under unidentified. RNAcentral describes it as "SSU rRNA". It matches the Rfam family "Eukaryotic small subunit ribosomal RNA", at positions 360 to 1756 of the family's 1831-position model. The record is from RNAcentral.